RNAcentral lists this ribosomal RNA (419 nucleotides) under uncultured bacterium. RNAcentral describes it as "bacterial SSU rRNA". It matches the Rfam family "Bacterial small subunit ribosomal RNA", at positions 356 to 774 of the family's 1533-position model. The record is from RNAcentral.
AAGGAAUAUUGCUCAAUGGGAGAAAUCCUGAAGCAGCAACGCCGCGUGGAGGAUGAAGGGUCUAUGACUUGUAAACUCCUGUAAAGAAGGAAAAAAUUCCCAUUAGAUGGGAGAUGAUGGUACUUCUGGAGUAAGCCCCGGCUAACUACGUGCCAGCAGCCGCGGUAAUACGUAGGUGGCAAGCGUUGUCCGGAUUUACUGGGCGUAAAGGAUGCGUAGGCGGAUACUUAAGUCAGAUGUGAAAAUCCCGGGCUUAACUUGGGAACUGCAUUUGAAACUGGAUAUCUAGAGUGCGGGAGAGGAAAGUGGAAUUCCUAGUGUAGCGGUGAAAUGCGUAGAGAUUAGGAAGAACACCAGUGGCGAAGGCGACUUUCUGGACCGUAACUGACGCUGAGGCAUGAAAGCGUGGGGAGCAAACA